CUGGAUCUUGUUUUCUCACCUUAUUUUCUCGGUUGUUUUUCCUACCUAUAAAACAUUAAAACAUAACUUUUUUUUUUCCUCACAACAUACCCUAGCAGAGAGAGAAGCUGUAGAGAAACAAAAAUGGCGAAGUUACGGCUGCUCGAUUCUAGUUGAUUUUGAAUCUAUUUCGGGUAAGAUUUCUUCAUUAUUCUUCUAUCCUCUUCUUCUUCUUUUCUAUUUACUACUUUGUUCAGUUUGAUUUGUUCAGUUCGAAGUGAUUUUCUCUUCUUUUUUCUUUUUUUUGUUGAAGUACACAUUCAAUUCUUCCUUUUCUUUAUAUUUCUUCUACCUUCUUCCUCUUAUUUUUAUUUCUUGUUGUGUUCUUCCUAUUGUGUUCUUCUACUGUAAUUUUUUUGUUUUGAAAGCUCUAGUGUUUGAAAUUUUGUGCAAAUUUUGAUGAAAACUUGGUUAGGGUUUUUUAUUUUGGUUUUUUUUCCCUAUUUAACUGUUUAAUUUUGCAAAAAGUUUACGAAUUUAAGUUCGAUUUUUGUUUCUAGGAUUUUAAAUUUGGGAGUUUCCAAAUUAGGGUUAAAAUUUGGGGGUAUUUCUCCGUCUAUUGAAUUCUGCUGUCAUUAGGUUAAAUUCUCCUUUUAUAUUAAUCAGUUAUAGCUUUUGUGAUUGUAUUAUUCUGGUAGUGCCAUCAUGUUCUACAUUGUGGAUAUUGUGAUUUUGUUAUUCAUGUUGUUCAUAUUGAAUAGAAUUGUUCUUUUAUCCAAUGUAAUCAAAUAUAUUUCCUUGUUCUAAUUAUUGGUUGUUUUGUGUUUAGGUUACAUAAGAUUUCUUGUUUGUGGUAAUGGAAUUGAUUGAUAUGAUCAAUUGUGGGUUGUAUUAAUUUUUGUUUUUCUGUCCUAAACAUGGUGCAUACUUGAAUGUUUGUUUCCUUAUUGCUACUGCACCUAAAUCAUGAACAUUGUGCAUACUACAAUGUUUUAAUUUUGUUGUUUUUGUUGCAUUGUGGUUCUUAUUUGAUUGGUUGGAAAUGUAUUUCUUGGUGCUUGUUGUUUUUUGUCUUCUGUCUUCUAUGAGUCUUGUUGGUUUACUUAAUAUAUUCGAUUAUUCUUUAUCGAAUGUUUGAAUUAUCACGAGGGUAAUGUAUUCCAUGUAUACAUGUGUAGAUAAUGCCUAAAAAAUUUGCGGGUCACCUAGUAAAUGGUUGGUGAUAAUAAUGGAGAUGAUAACUAUACCCCACAAGACCUCAACUGUCCUGUGAAUGGAUCACCACCUGGCUAGUUGGUUCUUUAUUUUAUACAUUCAAAUUUUCUGUAGUACAAAUGGUUUCGUGAAAUGAUGGCAUUGUUAUUGUAGAGAACAUAAAAGAAGAAGAAGAUGAUGAUGUGAACCUAGAAGGGUUAGAUACCCAAAUUCCUUCCAACACACCAAUUGGAUUAACACCACUUGCAUCAACUGAAGUUCUAGGAGAAAGUUCAGCAACUGGAGGGGAUGCUCGCAAAAGGAAAGGUAGUGAUGCACCUAUUUUACCAAAGCGUAAUAAGCUGAAAUUUGGAUUGAUAGAUAUACCUGAACCAGCAUCCUUCAAGGGGUUGACUGCAGCUUUGCAGAGUAUAGCCCAAAGUCUGGAAAAACCCAAGAUUGCAGAUCUGUCAACUGCACUUCAAGAGAUGACAAAUGGGGACAGAGAUAUGUAUCUGAGAGCAAUGGACUUUCUAGGAGACAACCCUAGUUUGAUGGCAAUGUUUGUGGGUAUAGAGAAGGAAUACAAGAUGGAAUGGCUUUUGAGAAAGCUUAAUGCCCAUAGGUAGUGAAGGGUGAUCUUGGUGUUUCUAUUUUUUUUAGGCUGCGGAAGUAUUCCUUUUUGUAUGUUGCAGAAGUGUGUUUUAACCUUGUUAUAAUCAUGUACUAGUUUGAUUGUGAACUUAUUUUCAUCACAACCUUUUGAACUUGGUUUGAAUAUAAAUAGUUUGAUUUUGAACUAUUUUAUGAUGUCGCAGCCUUUCAAAUCUCAUUUGAUUUUAUAUAUUCCAUGUUAUGUAAAUUGUGUUUAGAUUAGGGUUUUCU
Molecule: long non-coding RNA, 2058 nt
Filed under: Aquilegia coerulea
Lineage: Eukaryota; Viridiplantae; Streptophyta; Magnoliopsida; Ranunculales; Ranunculaceae
Description: long non-coding RNA (ACOE_LNC001913)
Source: RNAcentral